RNAcentral lists this unclassified non-coding RNA (784 nucleotides) under Hevea brasiliensis (rubber tree). The record is from RNAcentral. Lineage: Eukaryota; Viridiplantae; Streptophyta; Magnoliopsida; Malpighiales; Euphorbiaceae.
UUUUUUUUUUUUUUUUUGCAAAACAUCUAAAGUUAUUUAGUCAAGAAAAAGGUGAAUCAUUCUUUCGUGUGUCUCAACAGGUACAUCCAGCAGUAAACAAAUAAACAUUAUCAGGAGAAGAAUCACCGCAUGCAUAGACAGCAACAAUCAUGUGAAGUACUUACUUAACAAAUAUUAAAUAGUUUACAAUUGAUUAUGAGUUUCUGAGUUAAAAAAAAAAAAGAGCAUUUUUCAGAAAAAGCAUCGUUUUAGAUAUGUGCAAAAAAACUGUUUGGAAAAAAUUAUUUUGUUAUUUUAAUAUUCUUAUGGCUAAAACAUGUCAAUUUUAAUUAUACUCUCUAAAUUUAAUUAUACUCUAUAACUAAUAUAUUUAAAAAAGUGUUUUCUUAACAGCAAUUGUAACAACAAUGCUAAAUAAGCUCUUAAUUAACUUAAAAUCCGAAGUAUUACCAUAUAACAUACUCUCCUUAUGAGCACUAGCCGAUGUAUUGAUUAAUCAUAAGUAAAUAAAUAAAGAACCAAAAAACGUGGCACUUCUGGUACAGUCCUAAAGAUACUGAUCUUACAACAUAGUCUUACCAUCUCCAAUUUAUCAAGAAACUCAGUCUCAUCUUCAUCCAAAGCUUUAGGAGGCCCUACAACAAAACCAGUGAUUAAAGCUUCAUUCUUAAAUCCCUUAAUCCAUUUUGCACCUCCCCCAUGCACACUUAAGAACACUAGAAUAUGAUAACUGGAACAACAUAGAGUGGACAAGGCAUGCAACCAAAUUCUCUAAUGAUAAGGA